Spinacia oleracea (spinach) is the source of this 4632-nucleotide RNA transcript. RefSeq lists it as uncharacterized. The record is from RefSeq and is a predicted model, not a curated record. NCBI's taxonomy places the organism in Eukaryota, Viridiplantae, Streptophyta, Magnoliopsida, Caryophyllales, Amaranthaceae. The transcript has 5 exons.
UAACAGUUCCGUGAAGUUGGGCCCACUACCAACGGUAGUACAUCGAUUUCUCAUAAAAUACACGACUUGAACUUUCUUCAACUGGUUCUUCACAACCGUGUUCAUCAAAUCUUCAAAUUAAUAAAAAAAAUUGCAUCAAGAAGCUUGAAAUUGAUUGAGGGAUUUGAUUAAGGUUUUAUUGUCGAGCAAUUUGUUGGGCGAAAGAAGCAGAAUCAAGGUACAAUAAGCCUAGAUUUAUAUAAGACAAUGACUUAUAUAAGACAGAUGGAGAAGUUGAAACAGAUCACACAUCAAUUUAGACAACAAAUGACACAACAUAUGCAGCAAAUCAGACAGUACAUACAGCAGAUUAGACAACAAACGAGAAGAUUAGACGGUAUAUCAACAAAUCAGACAACAAACUUGUAUGAUAAGCAGAUCAAAUGCAGAUCAACAGACUUCACGAAACUGUUAACGAGUCAGGUGGUGAAUUUUUUUUUUUUUAGGUGGUAAUUUAAAACUUUGAGAUUUUAAGGUGGUAAAACACAAAUUUGAUUCUUUUUAGGUAGUAAAUGACAAAAAAUCCUAUUAUUUAAAAAAAAAAAUAGAAAGGGUUGGUUAUUUUCAAUAAAGAGUGUAAUAUUCAAGGCUAUUAUUGUUAUUACGGAUAUUUCAUGAAAUACCCCCAGUUUUUCCUUAAUUCACCAAAUGCCCAUCAAGUUUCAAUAAUUCACCAAAUACCCCUCACAAAUGACUUAAUACCCCAAAUGCCCCUUGAUGACGUCAUCAACUCUUAACUAACUCAAUUAACCCAUUAACCCACUUUUUAAACCAUUAACCUACCCAUGCCUAUUUCCCAUCAACCCAUUUUUUUCCUUUUUCCUUUUUUGUCUUUCCUCUCUCCCCCUUCUUUCUUUCUUCCCUGAAUUUUCUUCCAAAUGCUUUCCCUUUCCUCCUCAACCACCGCCACACCCUUGCCAUUGCAGAAAUCAAAGCCCCUAAAACAUUCCCAGAAAUUCGUUCAACUAGUUCGAUACAUCGCAAGUUCUUCAAUUCAAAGGGAAAAUCAAAUUGAAGUUUCAACAACCCUUAAAAUCAGGCCUUAAUUGCCAUUGUAGAAAUCAAAUUAAAGUUUCCCGUCAUUAAUGGUACAAUUUUUUGUAGUGUAAAUAUUAUUUUAACCAAUUAAAUUCAUUUGGGCAUUCUCUUGCGCUUUUCCAUUAUUGAGGCAUUAAUUCUUUUCCAUUUUUCCAAUGUCAGAUUUUUGAUAAAAUAUAAUAAACAAACGUAAUUUGCCUUGUCUAAAUAAGAAAAAUUGAGCAAUCUCACUGCACAUUAAUUAGUCGUUAAAUCGCGUAAUAACAUCAAACGUAAAGAACAAAAAGGUUCAAAAGGAGUAGGAAAAAUAACAUGGAUACUAAUCACUAUCAGAAUCCGUUCCCGGACCAUACAUGCAAUGAGUACAGUUUACAUCUUGAGGAUGCAAAACCCUCUGGAAAAGAUGAACAGGAGUCACAACUGCAAGGAUAAACAAAUUAAAUGAUAAAAAAAAUGAGCCAUAUUGACAAUUGACCACGUUUGCAAAAUAGGUAAAAUACUACUCCGUACCUGAAGGAGAACCACUAAACCGAGGUGGCAAGAUACAGCAGUUGAGGAUUUUCCCUUGACCAGGAUUCAAUGCCACCACCUCGGCAUAGAAAAGCUCCACAGGGGAAUCAGCAUCCUUGGAUUUGGCAAAAAAGUUAGCAUGGAAAACAUAGGAGUGCCCUGAAUGAGGCAGCAGCACAAUAUUGCUAAGCAUAGGAGCAAUAAGCUCAUAUUCAUCACCCUAAAUUAAGAAAACCAAACGGACGGUUUAGAUGUAGAAUUGGGAGAGGGAAGGAGUAACGCAUCAAAGGUAAAACGCGCAUAAACGAAAACCCUAAAAAACAAUGAAAAAGCCACAAUUUUAACCUAAAAACUGCGAUCAACCAACAGACAAGCAAUCGCUAACUGCUGUACCCGGGUACAGCCAGCUCUGGCUGUACCCCCCAAAAACGACACGCUCAUAUUGUUUGUUCAUUCUUGUUGACUGUUUGUUCUUUUUUAUUGUACUGUUUGUUCAUUCUUAUUGUACUGUUUGUUCUUUCUUGUUGUACUGUUUGUUCUUUCAUGUUGUUUUUUAAAUUCAUCAUCAAAUUUUCAUAAUUAUCGUAUUUUUUGUUCUUUCUUCUGGAAUUUUAUGUUCUUUGGCUGUACCCGGGUAUAGCCAAAAAUUUGCGACAGACAAGUCGAUCAAGGAGCGUUAAAUUGAAACCUUACUGAGCAAAAACAAAAGAAAAGCCCAAAAAAUAAUCUAGAAACUGCAAACUGCUAUAGUGCUAUCGACUACCAUUAACAAAUAACCAAACAAAAAAUAAAUUUUAGGGUAAACAAAUCUAAAUCGAGGGGUUUGAAUUAUUUAUUUAAUUAAAUUAAAUGAUGAGAGAGAGAGCACAAACGUUUUACUGUGAUCCGUGAUUUCAUCGUUGCAGAAGACGUGUUUGAAGAAACGCUUCGUAUCAUUCACAUCGAUGCUCUUCAUCGUGCUAGCUUUUUCUUUAUUUCUCUCUGAACAGGUUGCUUUACUUUAUUACUAGUCUUAUAUGCAUGUGAUGCGUGCGAAAUUAUAUAAAAACUUAAAGUUGUGUUAUUAUAACGUACUAAUCACAACAAAUAUUAGACACUAAAAAAUCAUUCGGUAAGUUCAUAUUUUAAAACAAUAAGGGGAUAUAAAUCAUACAAUACAUCAAUCUUGCAAUAUAAAUAGUGUAACAAUGUAAUACUCAUGCCCUUACAUGAAAAAGAAUCAAAAUCUUAGUACCAAAGUAAAGUAAUUAAACGUAUAAAAUAGUUUGUUUCACUUUUUUAAUCUUGCUCGCAAUGUACUUGUCUAACCAUAUGCACUCCUCCGCCUAAUCGAUGUGCAACACAUAAUUAACAUUAUAAGAAUUUUCUGGAUUAAGAACGUGUACAAAAUCAUUCCAAAUUGUUAAUUUAAUAACAGCUCGUCUGCAAGUAGAAAGGAAAACACUAUUAAGACACAUUUUAAUGGAAGAAAUAUAAAUUCGAUAAGUAAAUAACAAUUUACUAAUAAUUUAGAGAAGGAAAUAAUAUUAUAAGGGAGAAAAAAGAAUAUAAAAUAUCUGAUGAGAAAAUAACAUUAUAGGUGACUUUCCAUAAAGUUCACUUACUUUCCUAAUUUUAUGAUUCUCAAUCAAAAUAACAUUAUUCUUUUAUUUACUUUUGUUGUUAUGGGCCAUAAGGAAGCUUUUAGGCGUUUAUUUCUCAGGGUUUUUGAUUUUUUAGUGCAAUCCACUAAAUAAUCAGCUUUUCAAUUGAAUUAAAUUGUGAAAGUGUCGGUAAUUUAGUCUAUCCAUAGGGGACAUCAAAAGUACAAUUACUAAAUUUACACCACGUGUUCCCUUAUACAAUAGAGAUUACUCCAUAGUUCACUACGAUUCAACAAAUCAUCAACAAUUAGUCACGUAACAUUCGAACUCGUUCACAAUUUUUUGUUAAAUCGAGUACAAUCACACUCAGAUCAUGAAAUUGUGUUAAACUUGAUUAGUUCACGACCCAGUUAGUACCUAGAACUCCUUUUAACACUCCCCCCAUCAACCCCUCACGAAGUCUAACUUCACAAUCACCUAACUCGAGGGUACCUUAAUUUCUAGAGAAGCUUAAACAAAAUACCAAAACAAUAAACAAAGACUACACAAUAUAUGAAGUAUCAAAGUAAAAAGUACUCUAAAGAAAAAGAACAAAAAAAAAACCCCCUUUGAUUUCAACAUUUGUGUCCCUUCCCUUCACGUGAUCGUCCCCUUCCUGUCUCCUCAUUCACCCUUUCUCUCUCUAGAAAAAAACAACUCCUAUAAAUUCUGUAAGUGUCACACACCCAGACACACGCUCUCUCUCUCUCCUCCACUUAGAUCAGAUCUUCAAUAUUCAUGACCACAUUCUAAAACUACCAUGUCUUUCUCACUCCUCUUCUUUGUGAUAGCUUUUUCACUUCACUUAUUAUUAUCACCUGCAUCCGGGCACCACAUCUGCUCCACCGCACAAAUGCCGUCUCUCAAGUCGUUCAUAAUAAUGUAGAAGCUCACGAAGAAGAUGAGGGAGAAUCGCUCCAUCCCACACCGGAUGCGUGUGCGUAGCGACAACACUAUCAGGUACAAUGCGAAGCGCAUGCAUUGGUGUCGUACCAAACUCAGGUUCUGAGGGAAAUUUCUGAAGAAGAAGGAAGAAUAUGGUGGUGGGAAGAACUUAUUAAUGGAGGUAGUACAAUUAGAGAUAAAUAUGGAGAAGAAGAAGAUUAGGGAAGCUAGCUAGAGAUCAUUGCUUUGCAAAUCAUUCCACGCCGAGAACUCGAAGCCGGUGUUAAAAUAGAGAUGACGGAGGAACAAAUCAUGGGUAUGAGGCGUUUUUAUAGGGAUUCUAAUUAUGUUGAUCCUUAGAAGUACAAUUUUCAAUAUUUUUGUAUUUUCAGAAAGUUGAGCAAGUAAGAUUUGGGCUUAACACUUGAACAAUAAUAUAACGACAUGUCAACUAGCUACCUUGACCCAGUUGACAGUACCUUUAUGUAAAUGUCGGUAUAACAUUACUCCGUAUAAGUUAUCUGAUAUUUGGAUGUCA